This 932-nucleotide long non-coding RNA is filed under the name Capsicum annuum. RNAcentral's name for it is "long non-coding RNA (CANN_LNC019492)". Lineage: Eukaryota; Viridiplantae; Streptophyta; Magnoliopsida; Solanales; Solanaceae. The record is from RNAcentral.
GUAAUAUGGAAUGACUGGUGGUGGUGGAGAUGCAUAGGAGACUCCUACAACUGGUGGAAGAGGUACAUUUUCGUAUGUUGGCGGUGGCGGUGAUGGCGAUGGUGGUGGGGGUGAUGAAUAGUAGUAAGUUGGUGGUGGAGGUGAUGGUGAUGGUGGUGGCGGUGAUGUGUAAUGGUAAGUGGGAGGGGGAGGUGAUGGUGGUGGUGGUGAUGAAUAGGUAUAUGGUGGUGAUGGUUUUGGUUCCCAGUGUGAAGUCGGAGGUGGAGGAGGUGGAUCAUUGCAAGGUAGGGUAGGUGGGGCAGGAGUGUAUCCACCUGGUGGUGGUGAUGGAUAUGGAGUUUUUGGAUGUUCGUAUGACGGUGGUGGUGGUGGUGGUGGUGGUGGUGAUGGAGUUCUUGGAUGUUCAUAUGUUGGUGGUGGUGGUGGUGAAUGUGGCGUAUACGUUGGUGGCUCGUGAUACACUGGGGGUGGUGGUGAAUGAGGCGUAUAUUUUGGUGGCUCGUGAUACACUGGGGGUGGUGGUAAAUGAGGCGUAUACGUAGGUGGCUCGUGAUACACUGGGGGUGAUGGAGAAUGAUAAACUGGUGGUGGUGGUGAUGGAGAUGGGCGGUAAUAUAAAGGUGAUGGUGGAGGAGGAGGUGAUUGAUGAGUUACUGGAGAAAUUUUAUGCAUAGGUGGUGGAGGACUUCUAUGUUGAUAGGUUGGGGACUUUUUGUAGGUAGGUGGUGGUGGUGGUGGUGGAGGCAGAGGAGUUGAUUGAGGUGGCGGUGGAGAAUGCUUGUUAUGCGAACCCGAAGAUUUCGAAGAAGGUGGUGGUGGAGAUUCAAUUGGUACAACAGGUCUUGUUGGACGAGAUGGCUUUGGUGCUGGUGGUUUGUUGUGAACAGGUGGUCUCUUAGGUUUUUGUGUUGGUUUUGGUCUUGGCUUUGUUG